UACAGAGGGUGCGAGCGUUGUUCGGAAUUACUGGGCGUAAAGCGCGCGCAGGCGGCUUCUUAAGUCCGUCGGUCAAAAGCCGGGGCUCAACCCCGUGCUCGCCGAGGAUACUGGGAGGCUGGAGACACGUAGAGGCAAGCGGAAUUCCGGGUGUAGUGGUGGAAUGCGUAGAGAUCCGGAAGAACACCGGAGGCGAAGGCGGCUUGCUGGGCGUGAUCUGACGCUGAGGCGCGAAAGCGUGGGGAGCGAACAGG
Molecule: ribosomal RNA, 254 nt
Filed under: uncultured bacterium
Lineage: Bacteria
Description: partial 16S ribosomal RNA
Rfam family: Bacterial small subunit ribosomal RNA
Source: RNAcentral